This 1093-nucleotide long non-coding RNA is filed under the name Cyanistes caeruleus (blue tit). RNAcentral's name for it is "lncRNA (ENSCCEG00000013647.1)". The record is from RNAcentral. Lineage: Eukaryota; Metazoa; Chordata; Aves; Passeriformes; Paridae.
CUGAGCUUUAAUUUCAUCCUGGAUACACUGAUACAUCCUUUGUUUCUCUUUGUUAAUCUUGUGUUUAAAGUAACUUCUAGUAGAAGUCACACAUAUCUGACCCAGAAAUACAAGAAUUUCACAGUCUCUGAGGAAAUGUGCUGAAGGGAGAUUUUCUGGAGCUUUUCAGCUGGGAAUGAAACCUUCUGCCCAUUUGUUUACCGCAGAGGGAGCCCAGGAAAAGGACAAAGUGCUGGAGUGAAGGAGAUGGUGCAGAGGUCACUGCAGGCACCUGCUGUUUCUGGAACUUUCUGUUUUGAGGUAUAUGCUGACUUUGGACAGGUUCAGUGCCUUCAGCAGCUUUUGCAGGGUGCCAGGUCCACAAUCUGGUUUAACAAAGGCCACUAGUCCAGGAACCUCUUCCAUGGGGCCCACAUGAAAAACAGGAGUUGGAGAAGCAGAGUGAAGGUUUAUCGUAUCUCCAUAUAGCCAACAUUCAAAUAUCCUUCAGGAAGGGAAUGCUGGAGCCUGGCUGAGACUCUGGAGGUCUCUGCAGUGGUUUUGCACAAGUUGUCUAGAAAAAGGACAGAGUCUCCUGGUUGAGAAUUUGUGGCAUGAAGGUCUGAGCAAGAGGAACUGUACUUUCCAUUGCAUCACUGGCAUUUCAGCCCAGAGCUCUCCCACAUCUCAUAAGCUGCUUUGAGCCCGUGCAGUACGCAGAGUGGAAAAAAAAAGGAAUUGAAGAAGCAAAAAUAAAUAUUAAAGCACGUAAGAAUUAAAUAUCACCUAUUCAAAUAGCAAUUAUGCCGUUGAAAACAAGAUCACCACACCUGUACAAGAAAAGACAACCAAGCCUAAAACAUCUGUUUGGAUCCACCUGCCAAGCACCUGUUCUGCUGUUUCAAUGCCAUUUGAUUGCUGGAGAUGUAGAGGCUCUUGUGAGACCAGUUUCCACGCUGGGAACUACGGGAUAAAUCAGCCCAUGCUUCUCAUCAUGGAGAAUUCAGCAGCUGCUUGGGAUCAUCUCCCAGAGAUGAAGGAGAUGUGGAAGUCAAACUGAGAGGCUGCAGCAUCCCCUCUGCCUCUUCCCAAGGUAAGCAGUGCAGCUGGAAUG